GACAAUCUCUUUACAGUAAAGGUACUUUUAUCUUUUUUCCAUUCCAAUAAUAGUGUUAAUUUUCAAAUAGAUAAUUGGGCUAUAUCGCAACCAAUUUAAAGCUUUGGUAACUAAUUAAUAUUUUUUAAAUUUUUGGAAUCUAAGCAUAAAUAGCCCAAAUCUGGAGAAGUGUCUUUGCCAUUGCAUCUAUUGUAGACACACGAAGAUAAUAAGAAGCAAUGUACAAGCAAAAGGUCACGGAUAACCUAGCUUUGUCCAAGGGAUGCUAAUACCUAUGUCUUUCAUAGGCCUACUAUCUUAAGGAGGAAUAAGAAUGGAAUUACUUUAGUCAGUGGAUGGUUUUGUUUGGAAUUUGCGGAAAUAAGAAUGAUUUUCAUAAAUUCAUAGUUUCAAUGCCAAGUAUCAGAGCUUGCUUCAAUUUAUAUGUAACUGAGGCUGAUAAUCAUAUUCUUGUAGCCAUGGUGCAACAUGAGGAUGUUUUUACAAUAAUCAUGGAGUUGUCAUCUAAUAAGCCACUAGGCUCAGAUGGUUUUCAAUUGAAAUGUUGUUCAUCAAGAUGUAAUUAAAUUAAUUAUAAUUGAUAAUCAAUUCAAUCAACCAUCCAACUAUGACCUCUUAUAUAAUUGAUAUGUGAUCUGAUUCGGGG
This 646-nucleotide long non-coding RNA is filed under the name Elaeis guineensis (African oil palm). RNAcentral's name for it is "long non-coding RNA (EGUI_LNC012042)". The record is from RNAcentral. Lineage: Eukaryota; Viridiplantae; Streptophyta; Magnoliopsida; Arecales; Arecaceae.